GGAAGCACCAGCCGAUCGGAGACGGCAGCGCCCUGGAAAGGCGCCGGUCCUAACAGGCCUUGUGGGUUCGACUCCCACUGUUUCCG
RNAcentral lists this transfer RNA (86 nucleotides) under Candidatus Latescibacterota bacterium. Its description in RNAcentral is "tRNA-Ser". It matches the Rfam family "tRNA". From Rfam's summary of the family: Transfer RNA (tRNA) molecules are approximately 80 nucleotides in length. Their secondary structure includes four short double-helical elements and three loops (D, anti-codon, and T loops). The record is from RNAcentral. Lineage: Bacteria; Pseudomonadati; Candidatus Latescibacterota.